GUGCCCGCUUGGGCAGCAUAUAUACUAAAAUUAGAACGAUACGGAGACAAUUAGCAUGCCCCUCCAAGGAUGACAUGCAAAUGCAUGAAGGGCUCCCUACUUUG
RNAcentral lists this small nuclear RNA (104 nucleotides) under Zalophus californianus (California sea lion). Lineage: Eukaryota; Metazoa; Chordata; Mammalia; Carnivora; Otariidae. The record is from RNAcentral.